ACGGCCGCGGUAUUUUGACCGUGCGAAGGUAGCGCAAUCACUUGUCUUUUAAAUGGAGACCCGUAUGAAUGGCACCACGAGGGCUUAACUGUCUCCCCCUCCCAGUCAAUGAAAUUGAUCUCCCCGUGCAGAAGCGGGGAUAAAAACAUAAGACGAGAAGACCCUAUGGAGCUUUAGGCGCCAGGGCAGCUCACGUUAAACAUCCUGAAUAAAGGGAAGAACCAAGUGAACCCUGCCCCAGUGUUUUUGGUUGGGGCGACCGCGGGGAAAUACAAAACCCCCAUGUGGAACAGGAACACUAAGUUCCCAAACUCAAGAGCUCCCGCUCUAAUAAACAGAACUUCUGACCAACUUAGAUCCGGCUAUGCCGAUCAACGGAACGAGUUACCCUAGGGAUAACAGCGCAAUCCUCUUAAAGAGCCCUUAUCGACAAGGGGGUUUACGACCUCGAUGUUGGAUCAGGACAUCCUAAUGGUGC
Molecule: ribosomal RNA, 478 nt
Filed under: Spondyliosoma cantharus (black seabream)
Lineage: Eukaryota; Metazoa; Chordata; Actinopteri; Spariformes; Sparidae
Description: partial 16S ribosomal RNA
Rfam family: Bacterial large subunit ribosomal RNA
Source: RNAcentral